Molecule: ribosomal RNA, 561 nt
Filed under: Triticum aestivum (bread wheat)
Lineage: Eukaryota; Viridiplantae; Streptophyta; Magnoliopsida; Poales; Poaceae
Description: partial small subunit ribosomal RNA
Source: RNAcentral
AUGGACCCGCCCGUGACCGGACCGAGAGCAUGUUAUCGCACUCCUCGUCUUCUCCAAUCGACACACCCCGCCGCUCCGACACGGGCGCAUCAACGCCGGAGCUCCCCUGCUCAGCUUCGCCGUGCUGCUCCCCUGCUCUCCCGCACGUCCUCCUCCGCCGCCGGGGAUGCCUACGCCACCGCUCCCUCCUGCCUCGCGCAGCUCCCCUGGCCCCCUUGCCUGCCUCCCAAAUCUCCCCUCUUUCACCCCCAAAGUUGUUUCUUCUUCCUCCCGCUGCGUCUCCUGCUUGCGCGCUGCGGCGACACCUCCUCCUCGUUGCCCCCGACGCCGGAGGAGGCACGGGGAAAGCAACAGUGUCUCGCGCUGCGCUUGCGCCACCUCGGGUGUGCGUGGGCCUACGGGUCGGUCGCCGCCUCGGCCGUGCGCCAGUCCGCAAAGGAGGAGGAAGGGGAUUCCGUUCGCCGCCAAGGCGUACUGGGUAUGCUCCUCGAGUCCCCGCUCUUCAGGCCCCUCCUCACCCCCCUCAUCAAGAAGCAGAACAACAUGACGCAGAUGCUGUAG